RNAcentral lists this ribosomal RNA (1026 nucleotides) under Dothiorella longicollis. RNAcentral's name for it is "SSU rRNA". It matches the Rfam family "Eukaryotic small subunit ribosomal RNA", at positions 72 to 1106 of the family's 1831-position model. Lineage: Eukaryota; Fungi; Ascomycota; Dothideomycetes; Botryosphaeriales; Botryosphaeriaceae. The record is from RNAcentral.
AUCUAUACUGUGAAACUGCGAAUGGCUCAUUAAAUCAGUUAUCGUUUAUUUGAUAGUACCUUACUACUUGGAUAACCGUGGUAAUUCUAGAGCUAAUACAUGCUAAAAACCCCGACUUCGGGAGGGGUGUAUUUAUUAGAUAAAAAACCAAUGCCCUUCGGGGCUCCUUGGUGAUUCAUGAUAACUUAACGAAUCGCAUGGCCUUGCGCCGGCGAUGGUUCAUUCAAAUUUCUGCCCUAUCAACUUUCGAUGGUAGGAUAGUGGCCUACCAUGGUAUCAACGGGUAACGGGGAAUUAGGGUUCUAUUCCGGAGAGGGAGCCUGAGAAACGGCUACCACAUCCAAGGAAGGCAGCAGGCGCGCAAAUUACCCAAUCCCGACACGGGGAGGUAGUGACAAUAAAUACUGAUACAGGGCUCUUUUGGGUCUUGUAAUUGGAAUGAGUACAAUUUAAAUACCUUAACGAGGAACAAUUGGAGGGCAAGUCUGGUGCCAGCAGCCGCGGUAAUUCCAGCUCCAAUAGCGUAUAUUAAAGUUGUUGCAGUUAAAAAGCUCGUAGUUGAACCUUGGGCCUGGCUGGCCGGUCCGCCUCACCGCGUGUACUGGUCCGGCCGGGCCUUUCCUUCUGGGGAUCCGCAUGCCCUUCACUGGGUGUGUCGGGGAACCAGGACUUUUACUUUGAAAAAAUUAGAGUGUUCAAAGCAGGCCUUUGCUCGAAUACAUUAGCAUGGAAUAAUAGAAUAGGACGUGCGGUCCUAUUUUGUUGGUUUCUAGGACCGCCGUAAUGAUUAAUAGGGAUAGUCGGGGGCAUCAGUAUUCAAUUGUCAGAGGUGAAAUUCUUGGAUUUAUUGAAGACUAACUACUGCGAAAGCAUUUGCCAAGGAUGUUUUCAUUAAUCAGUGAACGAAAGUUAGGGGAUCGAAGACGAUCAGAUACCGUCGUAGUCUUAACCGUAAACUAUGCCGACUAGGGAUCGGGCGAUGUUAUUCUUUUGACUCGCUCGGCACCUUACGAGAAAUCAAAGUCU